Molecule: ribosomal RNA, 632 nt
Filed under: uncultured archaeon
Lineage: Archaea
Description: bacterial SSU rRNA
Rfam family: Archaeal small subunit ribosomal RNA
Source: RNAcentral
ACGGGGCGCAGCAGGCGCGAAAACUUUACAAUGCGGGAAACCGUGAUAAGGGGACACCGAGUGCCAGCAUCAUAUGCUGGCUGUCCAGAUGUGUAAAAUACAUCUGUUAGCAAGGGCCGGGCAAGACCGGUGCCAGCCGCCGCGGUGACACCGGCGGCCCGAGUGGUGAUCGUGAUUAUUGGGUCUAAAGGGUCCGUAGCCGGUUUGGUCAGUCCUCCGGGAAAUCUGAUGGCUCAACCAUUAGGCUUUCGGGGGAUACUGCCAGGCUUGGAACCGGGAGAGGUAAGAGGUACUACAGGGGUAGGAGUGAAAUCUUGUAAUCCCUGUGAGACCACCUGUGGCGAAGGCGUCUUACCAGAACGGGUUCGACGGUGAGGGACGAAAGCUGGGGGCACGAACCGGAUUAGAUACCCGGGUAGUCCCAGCCGUAAACGAUGCUCGCUAGGUGUCAGGCAUGGCGCGACCGUGUCUGGUGCCGCAGGGAAGCCGUGAAGCGAGCCACCUGGGAAGUACGGCCGCAAGGCUGAAACUUAAAGGAAUUGGCGGGGGAGCACAACAACGGGUGGAGCCUGCGGUUUAAUUGGACUCAACGCCGGACAACUCACCGGGGACGACAGCAAUAUGUAGGCCAG